This 2137-nucleotide ribosomal RNA is filed under the name Plenodomus biglobosus/Leptosphaeria biglobosa 'brassicae' group. RNAcentral's name for it is "eukaryotic LSU rRNA". It matches the Rfam family "Eukaryotic large subunit ribosomal RNA", at positions 1246 to 3401 of the family's 3401-position model. The record is from RNAcentral. Lineage: Eukaryota; Fungi; Ascomycota; Dothideomycetes; Pleosporales; Leptosphaeriaceae.
CAGUAGCUAUAGAAGUUAGAAUCCGCUAAGGAGUAUGUAAUAACUUACCUACUAAAUAAACUAGCCCUAAAAAUAGAUAGCGCUUAAGCGUGUUACCUAUACCCCGCCGCUAGGGCAAGAUUUAAGCCCUAGUAAGUAGGCAGGCGUAGAGGCUUGUAAUAAAGCCUUAGGGGUAACCCUAGGUAGAAUAGCCUCUAGUGCAGAUCUUAGUAGUAGUAGCAAAUACUUAAAUAAGAACUUUAAGGACUAAAGUAGGGAAAGGUUCUAUAUAAACAGCAGUUAGACACGGGUUAGUUAAUCCUAAGAGAUAGGGUAAUUCCGUUUUAAUAUUAGCGCUUACGCCGCACCCUUAAAAGGGAAGCUAGUUAAUAUUCUAGCACCUAGAUAUAGAUUCUCUAUAGUAAUAUAACUAAGAGCGGAGACCUUAGCAGGAGCCCUAAGAAGAGUUCUCUUUUCUUCUUAAUAGUCUGUUACCCUAAAAUUAGUUUAUCUAGAGCUAGGGUUUAAUAGCUAGAAGAGCGCUGCACUUUUACAGCGUUUAGUGCGCUCCUAACAAGCCUUAAAAAUCUACUUAAAGAAAUAGUUUUUACGCUAGGUCGUACUUAUAACUAUAGUAGGUCUCUAAGGUAAAAAGCCUCUAGUUAAUAGAAUAAUGUAGAUAAGGGAAGUUAGCAAAAUAGAUCUAUAACUUUAGGAAAAGGAUUAGCUCUAAGGGUUAGGUACGUUAGGCCUUAGGGAAAAGCCUCUAGCGCAGAAGGGCACUAGCCGCAAGGUAGGCGCCUUUUAGCGCUAGGGUGCAGACACCCUUAGCAGGCUUCGGCUAUCUAGCGUACGUUUAACAACCAACUUAGAACUAGUAUAGACAAGGGGAAUCUAACUAUCUAAUUAAAAUAUAGCAUUGCGAUAGCUAGAAAGUAGUAUUAAUGUAAUGUAAUUUCUGCCUAGUGCUCUAAAUGUUAAAGCGAAGAGAUUUAACUAAGCGCGGGUAAACGGCGGGAGUAACUAUAACUCUCUUAAGGUAGCUAAAUACCUUAUUAUCUAAUUAGUAACGCGUAUAAAUAGAUUAACAAGAUUCCUACUAUCCCUAUCUACUAUCUAGCAAAACUAUAGCUAAGGGAACGGGCUUAGCUAAAUUAGCAGGGAAAGAAGACCCUAUUAAGCUUAACUCUAGUUUAAUAUUAUAAAAAGAUAUAGGGGGUGUAGAAUAGGUAGGAGCUUUAGCGCUAGUAAAAUACUACUACCCUUAUUAUUUUUUUACUUAUUUAAUAAAGCGGAGCUAGGCCUUACUACCUAACUUCUAGCGUUUAAGGUCCUUUGUAGGCUAAUCUAGGUUAAAGAUAUUAUUAGGUAGGGAGUUUAGCUAGGGCAGCACAUCUAUUAAACUAUAACGUAGGUGUCCUAAGGGGGACUUAUAAAGAACAGAAAUCUCUAGUAGAGCAAAAGGGUAAAAGUCCCCUUAAUUUUAAUUUUUAGUGUAAAUAUAAACUAUAAAAGUGUAGCCUAUUAAUCCUUUAGUCCCUUAAAAUUUAAGGCUAGAGGUGCUAGAAAAGUUACUACAGGGAUAACUAGCUUAUAGCAGCCAAGCGUUUAUAGCAACGUUACUUUUUAAUCCUUUAAUAUUAGCUCUUCCUAUUAUACUAAAGCAGAAUUUAGUAAGUGUUAGAUUAUUUACCUACUAAUAGGGAACGUAAGCUAGGUUUAGACUAUUAUAAGAUAGGUUAGUUUUACCCUACUAAUAACCUUGCCCUAAUAGUAAUACUACUUAGUACGAGAGGAACUACGGUUUUAGAUAAUUAGUUUUUGUGGCUGUCUAACUAGGUAUUGCCGCGAAGCUACUAUCUACUAGAUUAUAGCUAAACGCCUCUAAGUUAGAAUCUAUGCUAGAAUAGGGUGAUUUCUACCUACACUAGUUAGAUACAAAUAGGCCUUUAGCCUAGAACCUUACUAGAUUGGCGUUAGCAGCCCUAUUAAAGUUAGAGUUACUAGCUAGUAUAUUAUAAUUAUAUAGUACGCAGGAUUAAAUCCUUUAUAGACAACUUAGUUGUCUAGCUAGGUCGUGUAAGUAGUCGAGUAGCCUUGUUGUUACGAGCUACUAAGCGUAAGCCCGCCGCUAGCUUAGUUAAAAUUAGGAUAUUAU